UCCCACGGAACACCCGAGCAAUGCCACC
RNAcentral lists this non-coding RNA (28 nucleotides) under Drosophila melanogaster (fruit fly). Lineage: Eukaryota; Metazoa; Arthropoda; Insecta; Diptera; Drosophilidae. The record is from RNAcentral.